UAUAGUAAUGCACUUAAGUGAAGGCUUAUGCUGGAUCUUGUGAGAACUUUGGGCAUGGGGCCUUUGUGGAGGUUUCAUUCCAUAGUAUGUAAGGGAGAAUGUCAUUUUCUCAUCAAAUGCUGCUUAAGAGCAAAUGGAGCAGUUUAGAUUCUGAGUGUCCUGGGGUACUUGCUGCAGUGUAGGAGGAAGGAGGAGGGCAGGAGAUGGAUCCAACCAUCAGCAGAAAGAAGGACUCUGCUGGCAGGCUUCAUGUGGUUUCCUCAAGGUGCCGUCUGAACCCCUCUCCCUCACUGUUUGUGUUACACACAUCAAAGAUAGACAGGAUUCCCAGUAAUUUGGGGUACUGCAGGAUCACAUUUCUUUGUGGUGCUGGAAAAGACUAGGUAGUCACAGUGCAUUUCAUACUUCAGCUGAACUGAUGGUCCUAGAGCUAUUUAACUGAGACAACAUUCAUUUUAUUCCAGAUUCACUUAGAGAGAAGGUUGUUGUGUUUGCUUUAUUAGUGCCUCUGUGAAACUCCAGUUUUUCUGUUUGUUAUUUUUUGGUCUCAUAUUUUUUAUGGAUGUCAUCCUGACCAGAGGGCUUCUUUUGGAGAAGAGCCUUCAGGAGAGAUGCAGCCCUGCCUGUGCCGAUCCCCAUGGUUUAAGGGCGUCAGUCUGCUGAGUCUGCUGUUGUUGUCUUGGGUCCAGGCAGGGGUCCCAGAAGUUCAACCCAAAGAAAGAGACACAUGUCUUUGUUCCAGGCUCCUCUGUUUAUUAUACUUCUGAGCAAAGCUUGCAGGAAGUGAAGCCCUCCAGCGUAACUGAGGAAAGGAGCUGUUUUCUCAAAUCUGUUUCUUAGAAUUUGUUCAGAGAUCAAGGUUGUCAGGAGUAGAAGGUCAGAAGCUUGUCACUUGUUAGGCAGUUUGUCCUUUUCAAUAAAUGGAUAUUUUGAGGUUUGCAAAACAUGUUUUGACAAAAAGAUUAAUUUCUCUGUAGAGAGAUAAAAGGAUUCUGAUAUCACUGUGCUGUUUUCAGCCAAGUUGUGGAUAGAGGACACAAAGUGAUUGUUUUUGUGUUGGUUUUUUUUUCAGUCAGUACCGACAAGGUAGCAAAAGAAAAAGCCGACCUGUGAGUGUGAAAACGUUUGAAGAUAUCCCAUUGGUAACCACUGUAAAAGUUGUUCAGGAGGAAAACCAGACAGACAGUGGGAUGGUUCUUGCAUCUGAAGAGCUGAAGACACUGGAAGAGCAAGAUAAACAAGUCAAAAUACCCUUCAGCACACUAGCGCCCAGCAAGAGCAAUGAGUCUGUCAUGUCCGAGGCUUCCAACCAGACAAGUGGCUACCAGUCGGGGUACCACUCAGACGACAUGGACACCAUGGUCUGUUCCAGUGAGGACACUGAACUCUUGUGUGCCCAGGAGGCCUCCCCGGUGCUGCCCCGUGCACAUGGCCUGGCAUAUGACAGCCCUGUGCCUCUUGCGUCCCCACCACUCUAGGCCGAAACUGGUGGCUCCAGAUCCCCUGGGAUGUGCCUUCCUUGCCUUGGCUGAUGGUAUUCACAUUUGGUGUGUACAGAGACUGUGGCCGUGGGCCUAGGGAAAGACAUUUAUUUUUUCAGGAAGAGG
Molecule: non-coding RNA, 1607 nt
Organism: Meleagris gallopavo (turkey)
Lineage: Eukaryota; Metazoa; Chordata; Aves; Galliformes; Phasianidae
Source: RefSeq, a predicted model, not a curated record